UACAGAAAAAUAAAUAAGCUAGUAAGACUCAAUAACUUAUGAAAGAUGAAAGAUAGGGCAUCUAAUGAAACUUAGACUUUGUUUGCUAGAGUGAAAGGGAGCACAUGGGGCCUGAAUAUUCAAUAGUCACGUGUAGUUUAUAAAGGGUACAAAGUAUUUCACACACAAGUGCACAGAAAUAGAAUUUGAGAACCCAGAAGACUCUGCCAUUGUCUCUGCUGAAACACAGUAUGUCUUCCUAAAGUCUCAUUGACUCUUUGAUCAAGGACAAUCUCAAGAAAAAUUAUUCUUGAUCACUUGAUCUGUGAUCCAGAUGACCUCAUUAAAUUUUUCGGUUUUUUUUUCACACAGGCAUAGCAGGUGGGUCUUCCUACAUUUUUUUCCUGCUGGAAGACACCACAGAGAAGCUCAAAGUGCCAUACCAUCAAGUGUAGCCCAGUGUUUAAGACAUGGUCCUUCUCUGUCAGGCUAGCCAGCAAUUCUUCCUUAUUAAAGAUGUCAACUCUCUGACUUGCAGUUCAUCAUAAAGGUGCCAUAGAGCAACAGAGUAAAACAAACUAGCCAAAAAAAUCUAUCUACCCAACAAGAUGAAGCUGUUGAUAUUUUUUUGAAAAUGGGUAAACUGAACAGUUUUUAAUCCAGCUAACAGACACAUUAACUUGUUAUUACAAAACAAAGUCUAUCCAAAGACUAUUCAAAGUAAAAUAUUUAUGUAAGGUAUCUAUAAACACAAUGUUUGAAGAAUAUCUCCAAAGAAGGGUGGUUAGUAUUUCUAAUUUAUAAAGAUAAAUAUAUGUAAUUAUCACAGAGAAAACACUUUAGACAUGAUACAAAUCUUCUAAUACACUAAAACUUCCCACAAAUGUAUCAAAAUUCCCGUGUAAACAGGUUCCUAUAUCAGAAAUAACUUUUAAGCAUCGAGACCUCAGAGAUCAGUGGGAUGAGUCCUGAAGAGAGACAAUCAGCCUAAGAUGUACAAAGUUCAAGUUAAAUAAACAACCUUACAACCAUGUUAAUGUUCAAAAAGUAACUAAAAUGGCAUAAUACUACACUGUUGUCUUACAGUAGACAAAGCGGCAGGAGUCUGAGGCAGAAAGCCCUAUCAAGGCAAUAGAAACAUUCACCAUCAUCUUCAUCCUUCCCAUUCAGAAUACAAUGUUUAAAACAUUCACAUUACCAAUGUUUAGUCAUACAAAUCGAACAUCCAGCCUGUGAGCUUCUUUGAUUUUGACAAUAUUUCCCGUGUGUCUCAUUGCAGAACUUCAAAUAACCAGCACCAUUUCGAACUUUUUUCCAGUGAAAGGGAAAAAAAACUUCAUGAUUUUUGAGGGGUCUUUUGGAGAUGUGACCAGUUUUAGGGGCUAAUGAAGCUAAUCUAAUAAUGUACUUGACAGAAAUAUCGGUUGGUUUGUUAAAGGUCACCAGACACCAACUGCAGACAUGUCUCUGUACUUUUCCCAUUCUUUGUUUGGCCAGCUCAUGUGAAACUGCUUACUGUGUAUGCAAAGCCACAAACCAACACUUCCUGUCAAUACGUUCCUGUUAUCUCAGAAUUUGGUGGUAUUUCCUGGCCUUUAGGAAAUACCCUCAUUUCUACCUCUCACUUCCCCACUUAAAAAACCCAAGAGCUAUAAAAUUUUGCCUUCCUAUCCUUUCCAUGAGACAUUUGUGAUUUAAGCUUUAAGAGUCUUUGUUGGAUGAUUCUCUCCUCCUCCUAUUGUAAUAGACUUCUUAAUAAAACAUUUCCAUGUUCAUGUCAUGAUUGGAUGGUUUACUAUCGUAGUAAUGACUUGAAGAAAAUGCUGGCUGCCCUUCGACUGUCAUUUUUCUACAACUUGCUGUGACUUGGACAGGAUGCUGACUUCCAUCCUGCUCUCUUCACCCAAGUGACGAUGCCACCUUAUUGAACCUUUGAAACCUGACUUGGAAAGCCAAAUCAAAAACGGCCUUCAAAGGAGGUGGAUAAUGAAAGAAAGAGCCUCAAAUCCAAGCCAGCACGAUCAGUGAACAUCUGAGGGUAGAGUGUAAAAUAGAGAACAUUCUAAGAUCUCACUUUGUGAAAAGCAGACAGCUCAUCAUUACAUCAGCCCAGUAGUCCACUAAUGCAUCAUGCAUGUGAGAGCAGCCAGUCUGAGGACUAUGAGUUUCUCCAAGGAAGAUCAAGGAUAAGGAUGUGCUGAAAGGAAGAAAUGGUGACUUGUUUCCAGCAUAAUUUUACUGUACGCUUUCUUAAAUAAGAGCAUAAGUCCGAUUGGGCUCAAAAUGUUAAGACCAUCCCUCCAAAAGACAAAUGAAUUGUCAAUGUUCCUUUGUGAAUAUUCAUUCGGUAAAAUUAUUUCUACAUUUAUGUACAUUUUUAUUUACACAAUUUACCACUACAGAAUCAUUUCAUAAUACGUGUUCUGAAUCAAAAGUAAAUCAAUAAAAUUUAGUGUCUCCCUUCAAGGACAUCAUAGUGUACAACAAAGAGAAAACAUUUAUGUGAAGAAUGGAAGAAAUGGAGCAGAGGUGAGGACGAGGGAUUUGAACUGAGUUGAAGUCUGUGCUCUGAAUCCACCAACUAUGAUAGCAGGGUUGCCUUAUUUGAAGUAGUGAGAACCCAAGAAGAGUAUUUUCCCACCUACAGACUGAAGAAUACUCUUCUCAACCUCCAAGUAAAUAAACCACACUUAGCAAUGCACUGAACGCUUUCAUCUGCAAGAAAAAAGUUCCAGACUACUAGCCUUAGGCACAUUGAAAGCAUCAUGGCACCAUACCUUUGAGUCUUCUGUGUUAAAGAUGUAGGCCAUAGGAAGAAUUCAUUAUGUGUACCACAUAAUGAUGAUCUCACAAAAGAAAAAAACUGCACUUAAUGAUAUUUGGCUACAUAGCGAGAUGCCUGAAUACUCUGGGGCUAGUAAAAUCUGGCUCAGUUAUUCUAACACAGUGGGCUGAAAUACGCAACAGCUAGGGGGAAACAGGCUUCUAGGUGUGCAAUAGCCGGUGACUGACAUUGAUCUGCACUGAAUCUGAGCAUAGGGAGCCUGACAAAAUAGAACAGUGGAAGGUGGCAAACAUAUGAGAAAGGAGUAUGGACUUAGUCGGUAGAGACACUUUAGAAGGUAUCUGUCUUCAUUUCAUAACACGCCCAACAGCUGGAGGCCUACCUCUUCCUGGAAAUAAAGGUUAACCCUACCCCUUUCUGAGGUCAACAUGUCUGCACAGCCUUCUAGCUCAGGAGCACUUCUGGGUUACUUUUUUUAAGCAUGUAAAUUUCCUUAUAAUUAUGGAAUAGUCCUAACUCCCAAUCUCACUCCAAUUUGCCAAUAAAAGGACAGCCCAGUUCACUAAUUAGCAGGAGACUAAGUGGUAGAAUUAUUCUUAUAAACCUAUAUCCAUCCUAACUCUCCCUCACUUUGAGUAUAAAAAGGGAGGCUAGGGAGAAUUGUUAGUACUUGGGAGAGACACAGAGACAUUGUGAACCCAGCCUGAAAAAUCAAUUAAGAAAAAGAAGACAGUUUGAGUGAGAUUCUGGUUUUCCUCAGCAGUCAGUGAAGGGUACCCCUGUUAUUGAUAGACUGCUAUGGGGCUGCUGUGCCUCCAUGAGCUCAUGUAGUCCAGUGCUGGCAUCCUGGAAGUGUAUAAGUUAAUAAUGAUGCCCAGUAAUGCUGCAUACAAGAUUUUUGACAUCUUCACACUGGGACUAAUAAUCUCUUGCUUUUCUUAAAGCAUUCCCAGUACCAUGUUAUUUUGGAACAUACUACUCAAAUCUGGAAUGGUAGCACAGGCUGUUGUUUUCUAAAUAAUUCUCUGGUUUUAGAUUCUGAAUAUCCUCAUCUUCAAAACAUUCUUAGCAGUGCUGGAGUCGAGUUCCAACACAAACUUGUCAAUAAUCUAUGUGGGCUGCUUGACGCUUCAUCCCAAACAAAUACAUAGUUCUGCAGUCAAUACUUGUGGAGGUAAAACAAAAUUAGUUUGUGAUAUGCCAUCAUUACUCAGUAUUGUUUAUAAGCAAUAAAAAUUUGGCUCAAUAGAAAC
Molecule: small RNA, 4017 nt
Filed under: Rattus norvegicus (Norway rat)
Lineage: Eukaryota; Metazoa; Chordata; Mammalia; Rodentia; Muridae
Description: uncharacterized LOC102552490
Source: RNAcentral